This 3508-nucleotide long non-coding RNA is filed under the name Spirodela polyrhiza (greater duckweed). Its description in RNAcentral is "long non-coding RNA (SPOL_LNC000413)". Lineage: Eukaryota; Viridiplantae; Streptophyta; Magnoliopsida; Alismatales; Araceae. The record is from RNAcentral.
UGCGGGGGCGCCUCUGCUCCGGUUCCGCCUCGUCUCCCUCUGCUGCUGCUGCGGCGGCAUUGAUCCUCUGCUGCUGCGUUGCGGUUCCGCUCCUCGCCUCUGUCGCUGAGGCAGAGGAUCCGUACCGCUUCUUCACCUGGAAUGUGACCUACGGCGACAUCUGGCCCCUCGGCGUCAAGCAGCAGGUCCGACUGCCGGCCAUUUCUUCUCUUUCCUUCCUCUUCCAUUGCUAUUGCUCGAUUCACAUCUGACGGAGUCUUCGUGUGCUCGGCGGCCGGGGGCGGCAGGGAAUACUGAUCAACGGCCUCUUCCCGGGGCCGCAGAUUGAGGCGGUGACCAAUGACAACCUGAUCAUCAACGUCCACAACAGCCUGACGGAGCCAUUCCUCCUCUCCUGGUCCGCCCCUCUCACCCGUCUUCUUCUCCCUUCCCCUUUGCGUUCUCUAUCCCCCUCUCCUUCGCUCUCUUUCUUUCGUUUAUUUUAGAUUUACUUGGAUCUGAGAUAGUACGGUUACCGUCUUCCAUCCCCAGGGGAGAGUAGACCGUCCCCCCCCCCCCGGCGGACGAACUAUGAUUCUGUCUUUUUUCGUAAUAGCCCUUAUAAAAUAUAUUGUAGACAAAAAGUCAUCAUUGCCUACUAAUUAGGAUAUCUGCACGGCGCAUCUUCUGCACAUGCCCCUGAUUUUCUGUCAGGAAAGUAUAUCCCACAAAAUAUGAAUUUAUCAGGGAAAAACUCUUUUUCUCGUUGAUGAGAGCAUUUAUCUUAUCUUAGAUAACCGCUGCCCAUUUUUGCCUGCUUUUCCCUUUCGAAAAACAUAUGUUUCGAGCCCUCAUUUAUGGUCGGGGUAGAAAAAGAAAAUCACCUCUCUAGGCAGGUGUUUUCGAGUGUGCCCUCAUUUAAUCUUGAGGACUUCUCUUGAACUUUUCUUUUGAUUUUUUUUUGUUUUCUCCAGAUGACUUCAUCCGCGUCCUUAAAUUUAGAAGUCCUGCCUCCUGCUGGAAAUAAAAUUAGGAAAGAAAAGUUUGAAGACUUAUUUUCGGGCGUUUAUCUAAAUAUUUUAGUUGUGUAUGUCUGUGUGAAUGCAUUCAAUCAAGAUGCCUUUUUAAACCUCGCCCCUCUGGGCGGGGCGGGGCGGCGCGGCGGGAAUCUGUAGAAUCCGGGAUGAGUCACGUGCGUGCGUCUCUGGCGUCUGCAACCCUCCGAUCGAGAUCUGACGGUUGACCAUGGCCCCCAUGUGCUGGAGGUCCUAGUGUGACCCAGCUAAGACCGCCGGCGGCGGUAUUUCGAUUGGCGGGGAGAGACAUCCGUCCAGCUGAGUUUCCCCGAAAAGACAUGCAAGUCGGGGACCGCACGUUUGGUGAUGGCCCCACCUGAUUAUUCGAUUUUCGAAUAUCCUUAAUGGGCUCAUUAAAUACGCAUGUAAACUGGCGUAAUCAAGCUGGUUUACAUGCCGCAUCGUGUGAUAUUUAUAUGCAUCCCUUUAUCUGAUCGAACACAAAAUAAUGGGAUUUUCCGAUUUUCCUCGGCAGUAUUGUGCGGAUCAUGAAGCGUGGCUAGAGCUGAGAACUACGUAGCAGUUCCAGAUUAGAUAUGAUCUUAGCAUCCCGUCUUUCCCAUGCCUGAUUGAGUUUCAAACAUCGUUCGGGCCUUCAUUGCAGCGUGGCAGAAAUCUUGGCCCGCUGAUGCAUAUUAUUAUUGCGCAGCACGCGCCGGCUAUGACGUAUUGCAGCUUUUAUCCUCGAUGAAGUUUUAUGACUGGUGGAUGAAUUUUCUAUGGAAGAGGGUUGCUUGAUGAAGUUUUAUUAUUCGCAUUGCUCUCGGGUGCUUUCAGGAACGGGAUUCAGCAGAGGAGGAACUCGUGGCAGGACGGGGUGCUGGGCACGAACUGCCCCAUCCCGGCGGGAGGGAACUUCACGUACGUGCUUCAGGUGAAGGACCAGAUUGGGAGCUACUUCUACUUCCCGUCGCUGGCCUUCCACAAGGCGGCGGGAGGAUACGGAGGCUUAAGAAUCCUCAGCCGACCCAGGAUCCCGGUGCCCUUCCCCCCGCCCGCCGGGGACUAUACCAUCUUGGCCGGCGACUGGUUCAAGGCCAAUCACACGGUCAGUCUAUCAAUGACUUAUCACACCCAUUUUUUCUUGUUUUCUAGCGUUCCCGGAAAUCUUAGCAAUGGGCAGUUUCAAUCACACACACACACACACACGCACGCACGCACACAGAGAAGUUUCCAGUCUUAGCAAUGGGCAGUUUCAAUCCUCUUAGGUUUAUUCUAAGCCUGCCUCUCUUAGCCAUACAAAGUUACUCUCUCUCUCUCUCUCUCGAUGUAUCCACAUAUAUUAUAUAUCUCAACAUCUAUAUAUGAAGUUUUGCAAUUGUAUCAAUACAGAAUUUCACUCUCUUUCGGUCGGUGUAUAUAUACAUAUAUUUGUCCAGAGAUUUCUCUGUGUUUACAGACAAUUUUCCUAUUUUGGCAAGCUUCUGUCCGGUCAUGUUGACGCACAUAGCGUGAUCUGACGGCGCGUCUCUUCCGCCAAUUCUUCAUAUUUCGUUCGCCACAUGAUGCUGUGGUUUGACCACAAGUCAUCGUCGGCGUGGGGUACGUGGCCCUGUGGGCUCAGUUUUUUGGUUUAGAUACAGAGCUCAAGUGGCCUAUUUUGUUGAAGCAGCUGGAGAUCUAAUCUCUACGCUUCAAUGCCUGAAUCUUGUGGCGAUCGGCUUCUUCAAUGCAUAAAUAAAUCCUUCUCGGUUUUUUUUUUCCCGAAUUGAACUGCUCUUGACACGCCUUCUUUUUCCAUAAAUUUCCUGCCUUUCUCUUCUCUGCCCUCUCUUCCUGUGGAUCGUAAGUCCUUGCCGUAACGUGGCCCUUCCUUUUACAGGACUUGAAGGCCCUGUUGGAUAACGGCCAGGACCUUCCCUUCCCAGACGGCCUUGUCAUCAACGGCCGCGGAUUGGGUGGGGGCUCCUUCACCGUGGAACAAGGUGAUUUUUUUUUAUGAGAAAGAAUUUGUCUUAUAAAUGGCAUUAUUUAUUUAUAUAAAGCAUCUGUCCAAGCUGGCUCGGUUUCCGACCCAUUCAUGAACUCAGCCUCCUCCGUUAAUUUGUUGAAGGAGACAAAUAUUUUUGGCCCUAUAUUCCCGGAAUAUGCUGACUAAAUAUGGCAAUUUAUGUAGGUAAAACGUACAGGUUCAGGAUAUCGAACGUGGGGUUGACCCAGUCCUUCAACAUCAGAUUCGAAGGGCACACGAUGAAGCUGGUGGAGGUGGAAGGGUCCCACACCCUCCAGAGCUCCUACUCCAACCUGGAUGUCCACGUGGGCCAGUCCUACUCGGUCCUCGUGACGGCCGACCAGCCCCCCCGCGACUACCACAUCGUCGUCUCCAGCCGCUUCACCAGCCCCGUCCUCGCCACCACCGCCGUCCUCCGCUACGCCAACGGCGGCGCCGCCGGCCCCCCCGGCCCACCCCCCGGUGGGCCCACCAUCCAGAUCGACUACUCCCUCAACCAGGC